RNAcentral lists this ribosomal RNA (407 nucleotides) under uncultured bacterium. RNAcentral's name for it is "partial 16S ribosomal RNA". It matches the Rfam family "Bacterial small subunit ribosomal RNA", at positions 28 to 526 of the family's 1533-position model. The record is from RNAcentral.
GACGAACGCUGGCGGCGUGCUUAAUACAUGCACGUAGAACGCAGUUGCGAACGGGUGAGUAACGCGUAGGUAACUGCCUCAUAGCGGGGGAUAACUAUUGGAAACGUUAGCUAAUACCGCAUAUUGUGACAUGGCCUUUCGUUGUAUUAGCUAGUUGGUGAGGUAAAGGCUAACCAAGGCGGCGAAACAUAGCAGACCUGUGAGGGUGAUCGGCCACACUGGGACUGAGAAACGGCCCAGACUCAGACGGAAGGCAGCAGUAGUGAGUCUGCGGCAAUGGACGGAAGUCUGACCAAGAAACGCCGAGUGAGUGAGGAGGGUUUUCGUAUCGUAAAGCUAUGUUGUUAGAGAAGCGGUAACUAACCAGAAAGGGACGGCUAACUACGUGCCAGCAGCCGCGGUAAUUC